GAUGACAUCCCGCAGCCAGAAGAACGGGCUGCUUUCUUCACACUCCUUGAAGACGAGCACAUCCAGUCCUUUCUAGCCAGGGACAGCUGCCUUAAGAUCUCGGACAAGUAUCUCCUGGCCAUGGUCCUCACGUACUUUAGAAGAGCAAACCUGCGUACUGAGGAAUACAGGACUUACUUCUUCCCAAGUCU
This is a long non-coding RNA of Bufo bufo (common toad), 191 nucleotides long. RefSeq lists it as uncharacterized. The record is from RefSeq and is a predicted model, not a curated record. Lineage: Eukaryota; Metazoa; Chordata; Amphibia; Anura; Bufonidae. The transcript has 3 exons.